RNAcentral lists this ribosomal RNA (460 nucleotides) under uncultured bacterium. RNAcentral's name for it is "partial 16S ribosomal RNA". It matches the Rfam family "Bacterial small subunit ribosomal RNA", at positions 338 to 795 of the family's 1533-position model. The record is from RNAcentral.
CCUACGGGAGGCAGCAGUGAGGAAUAUUGGUCAAUGGACGGAAGUCUGAACCAGCCAUGCCGCGUGCAGGAAGACGGCCCUAUGAGUUGUAAACUGCUUUUGUACAAGGGUAAACCUCAAUACGUGUAUUCAGCUGAAAGUACCGUACGAAUAAGGAUCGGCUAACUCCGUGCCAGCAGCCGCGGUAAUACGGAGGAUCCAAGCGUUAUCCGGAUUUAUUGGGUUUAAAGGGUGCGUAGGCGGAUUGAUAAGUUAGAGGGUAAAUGGCCGAGCUUAACUCGGGAACUGCCUCUAAUGCUGUGGAUCUAGGGAGUAGAUGCGGUAGGCGGAAUGUAUGGUGUAGCGGUGAAAUGCUUAGAGAUCAUACAGAACACCGAUUGCGAAGGCAGCUUACCAAUCUAUAUCUGACGUUGAGGCACGAAAGCGUGGGGAGCAAACAGGAUUAGAUACCCGAGUAGUC